Long non-coding RNA from Aquila chrysaetos chrysaetos, 175 nucleotides. RefSeq lists it as uncharacterized. NCBI's taxonomy places the organism in Eukaryota, Metazoa, Chordata, Aves, Accipitriformes, Accipitridae. The transcript has 2 exons. The record is from RefSeq and is a predicted model, not a curated record.
GUAUUUCAAUUCUUUAGCCCAAUCCUACAAGAGUCAUGGUACUCAAUAAACAUGGUUUACGGAGGGAAAACUCUGAAGGCAAAAUUAAAACAAAUCUCAGCUUGUCAGGCUCCCACUUCAGGUUAUAAAACAGUAAGCAUACAAACUGGGAAGCAGUUACACACUUCUGUUUUCU